Molecule: ribosomal RNA, 253 nt
Filed under: uncultured bacterium
Lineage: Bacteria
Description: partial 16S ribosomal RNA
Rfam family: Bacterial small subunit ribosomal RNA
Source: RNAcentral
UACGUCGGGGGCAAGCGUUGUCCGGAAUCAUUGGGCGUAAAGCGCGUGUAGGCGGCUCGAUAAGUCCGCUGUGAAAGUCCAGGGCUCAACCCUGGGAUGCCGGUGGAUACUGUCGAGCUCGAGUCCGGAAGAGGCGAGUGGAAUUCCUGGUGUAGCGGUGAAAUGCGCAGAUAUCAGGAGGAACACCUAUGGCGAAGGCAGCUCGCUGGGACGUGACUGACGCUGAGACGCGAAAGCGUGGGGAGCAAACAAG